Long non-coding RNA from Cyprinus carpio (common carp), 1460 nucleotides. RefSeq lists it as uncharacterized. The record is from RefSeq and is a predicted model, not a curated record. The transcript is spliced from 2 exons. NCBI's taxonomy places the organism in Eukaryota, Metazoa, Chordata, Actinopteri, Cypriniformes, Cyprinidae.
UCUGCAGACAAACAAACAGUGUUACAUCACUGGAGGGUUUCUGAUGUGACCUGUGACUUCAGUGCCACUCAAACUGAUUUAUGGGUCCAUUGAACAGAGGCAUCCAUCUGCUCAACAGGAUUCAGAGUAUUUUUGUGCCCACUUAACAAGUAGACAACAUUGGCUAGUUUCAUAAAACAUCAUGUUUGCAGCUCUGUAAGUUCUACUACUUUACGUUUAUGCAUGUUUUCAGCAGACGUUUAAAGUGCACGUUAGUCACGUUAAUGGCAGAGAGCUGGUUAUGGCUGUGUUCUUUACCGACGGGUUGCGUAACGGAACGCUGUGUGUUCUUUUGUCAGAGCUGCAGACUGCCAUAGUACACUCGGGCUAUCACACAUCUGUGAAUCAUAACAGUAUGCUAUGAAUGGACGUUUUAAUGAACGUAUAAGAACAACUCCAGGCGUUUAAUGAGGGAGUUUAAGAGUAUCGUGACAGUGUGGCAGAUGAGCAAUUAAUCCCAGCAAGAUUAAUCAGCGAAGCAUUAAAAUAGAACGCUACCCUAAAGCCCCGUUCACAACAAGAACGAUAAUGAAUCAGCGUUAACGUCCACAUCAACUGAUGUUCCGUUUAUUCUAAACGCGCGCUGCACUUAUUGUGUGGGAAUAAUAAAGCGCUUUAAAGAAGACAUCGUUUUUGAUCGGCUGUCAGUGUUUAUAUCAACGCUGUAAUAGUGAUGCAAACGGCACGGUUCGGCGUUUCCGCUAUUCUAUUGAAAACGUUCACAUAAGUUCCAGGAACUGCUCUCUGGAGGAAGACGGGGACGGCUGAGGACAGGAUGAUGAUACAACAUCUGAUACCAACGCAUCUGAACGUAAAUAAACACUACUACCUGGCCAGAACGGCAUGUUAAGCUUCAGAUUUCAGUACUGUGAACUGCUCAUGCAACAGAACGAACCGCUGGACACAAUUAACGUUCCUCCAAAAUGUUCAUCCUGUUAUACUAUAAGCGCCUGUUGGUAAUGUUUAGGAACUCAAACUAAAAUGUUGUUUGUUGUAUGGGACACUGGCUUAUGUAUACGUGCAGAACGUGUGUUCCAUAGAUGUACAAGCACACAAACACACACUCACGAGACAUGCUUCACCUACACACACAGAGCAGCGCUGCAGAAAGAAACAUUGUUACAUAGCCUCAGGAUGAAGAGGUCAAUCUCAUAAAGGACGCAUCUUUUAUAAUCCUUUAAUUGUUAUGCAUUCGCUUAACUAUUACAUUUAAUGUCAUCUCAUAGCUAUCUUGUGGGUAAAAAAAAAAAAAAAAAAAAGAGGUUCCUAUAUAAACUAUAGGCUCGCAUGAUUUUACCUCUCUCGGGGGUGUCAGCGUUCCGUCCACAUCAAACAAGCACAAAACAUUUCGACCUCCGGCUACACGAGACUUUCUAUCCAUUUCUUCUUGUCCAGCAAUUGAAGUAGACAUAAAAUAAAAU